GUUCAACCUGGCUCCUGCAGAAGAGAGAGAGGUAGUCAGUGUGAGGGCCCGAGCUCAGGCCAAGGAGUGGGCAGAGCACAGAUUGCCUGAUAAGUCUUGGCCUAGUGGAGCCUGGGCAGGGCAGCUCUGGCUGGAGAGCCGAGAGGAGAAUCUGAUUUCCAUGCUCUUAGUGCAGAAUGGGGGGUGGGGGGAGGGGCAGGCUCAGGAAUCAUUCAAUGUGCUUGCCAAUUGAUUAUAACCUGCGCGUGGCACAGAGGGUGGCACCCAGGUGACAAGGCGGUACUGGAGCAGGACCCAGAGUCCUCCUGUGGGUAUCACAGAAGCCUGGCCACCCCACACUCCACCUAGGCUGCUCCUCCUGCCUCUGUGGUAGCUGGGACCAUCCUGCAAGCCCGUCCUAGCUGUCUGCUCAGAUGGUCCCCCACGCCAGCGCACUGGCCUCCUUCCUGGGGCCUUCCAAGGCUCCUUCCCCUCCCCAGAUCCCUUGUUAAGGGCUGAUUGGAGAGGGACAAGAAAGAGGGCAGGGGAAUGUCCCUCCGACCGCUGUCCCUGCAAGGGGAGAAGUGUUUUAUCAUGAACAUUAUUUAGAAUCGCCUACACAAGGUGACAGUAAAAAGCAGACUGGCUUGCCAUUGGUUUUAUCACUGCAUUUAAGUUCUCUGUCUACAAUGCGCCACAUUGUUGCCCAUGCCACUGCCAUCGCCCCCACCUUGGGCAGGUGACUGGCUGGGGCUCCCCAUUCGGGCAGUGAAGAGACCCUGCUCCCCUCGCUCUGUCCCCGCUUCUGGCUCCCCCUACCGUCCCUGGGCCUUUGCCCUCCCUCCAAGGCCCUGGGGCUGAUUUCCCUGCAGCCGAGUCCAAGCCUCUCACCAGGAUUCACUGCAGACCCCGUGUCACCCCUUAGCCCGUCCACCUGGUGGAGAGCAGGUAACAUUGCUGACAACCAAGGGCGAACCCUGCCGCGCUCAGAGCCCGCCAGUCUAGCUUAGAAUGCAUACUUGUUCCUUGCAGGCCAGGCUGAAAUUUGCCACCCAAGAGCAGCCACUCAGCCAGUGUCAGAGACCCUCGCACACUUCCAGCACAUUCCACUUUCCAAAUCACUUCUCAGAGCUCAUCUCAGCAACCCAGGAACCCCAUGAAGCUGCAUGGAUGUUAUUACCCUUACUUGUCAGAUGACGAAACUGAGGUCCCGAGAGAGCAAGUGAUGUGGAAAGUGAGGGACCUGCAUGGACUCUAGAGUCUGGGUCUUUCCGCUCCCGGGGACUGUGCUCUGUCCCCUGUAGCGCCUGGCACACAGUCGCUGCUCAGUACAGGGCAGCUGUUAUUACUCUUUUAUACUUCGUGGCCAAUCAAGUCUUUAUGCUUAAGACCGCUUCGGCAUUUUAACAGUUCCUAUUAGCUGGGCGCCUGGAUGGCUCAGUCGUUAAGUGUCUGCCUUCGGCUCAGGUCAUGAUCCCGGGGUCCGGGGAUCGAGACCCGCAUCGGACUCCCUGCUCCGCGGGAAGCCUGCUUCUCCCUCUCCCACUCCCCCUGCUUGUGUUCCCUCUCUCGCUGUGUCUCUCUCUGUCAAAUAAAUAAAAUCUUAAAAAAAACAAAACAAAAAAGUUCCUGUUAGCUUUUAGGACUAUGUCUUUCUUACCUGCUUAUUAAAGCUGGUCCAAUAAGACCUCUACUUGCUCACACUUUCAUAGCUCCUUAUGUUUUCCUCUCUCUGGGCCUCAAGUUUGUCAUCUAUAUCAUUGGAUAUAAUGAUAUUUACUCAGGAAUGUAUGAUUAGAGAUCAUUAGCACCUUGUCCCAGGAUAUUACUAUGCAAUAUUACCAUUAUUUUUCUAUUGACUUAGAAGUAAAGUUACACAUAUUCGGACUAUUUUUAUUCUGACAUGUCAUCCCGAUCCAGAAGCUUCUUAAUGUGUUUAGCACCUUGAGCUACCUGGGGACCUGCAUCUCUCAGCAGAGGACACAGUGCCAUAAGCAAACUCUCCGUCAGUCCCUCUGGAUGGCUCUGAGCAUCACAGUGGACAGACAUGACACAGAGCCAGAUGGACACAGCUGGCUGCCAUCAGUGGGACCUUAGCGUUGGCAGAGCUAGGCAAGGCCUCAAGAAGUACGCAGAAUCCAAGGAUGGCAUUAAAAUACGUCUAAUACUUGGUGGCUGGCCGAAGAGGAAAUAAAAACUGCCCGCUUCAGAAUAGAAUCAAGCAGGAAUUCGAAUAGAUGAAUCCUAUCAGGUAGUGAACAUCCUGAAGGGGUGACAGAGCUGAGGUAGGAAACACAAAAGGGGGCAGAGCUUAACUUGAUCUUGGGAGCUUGCACUGCAAGACCUACCUCACUGGCAGGACAUGGACUCGGCGUCCCUGCCUGGCAUGGAGAUGAAACAGGGGAGAGCCCCACGGCGUGGGCAAAAUGCACUUCCCUGGAUGUUUGAGGCCUUAGCUCCCAUGCCUUGCCCCAUAUUUCUGUUGAAUGAGCCUCUCAACCACCUGUGAGCUAACUAACCCCAAAUUUGCUUGGAUGAAUAACCCUCGAUCGCUUUCGCUAGUGAACCUGUUUCCUUAGUAAGUGUCCUUCCUUACUCAUGGGAAGGUUUAGAAUGAAGACUGGAAAUGAUAAAAUCAAGUCUACAAUAUUACCCUUUUUUGGUAUUAAGUUAAGGAAAUGUCUGUGUAGAUUUAUUUUGAAAAUAUUUGUGAUGUUUAAAAUAAUUUGGCGUAUUAGGAUAUCUAACAGAUGAGCUUUGUGAUUCCAAUAUAAAAUGUAUAAUGGAAUAAUUAGAUUUGUGAUUUUAAGUUGAAAGAUAUAGGACAAUUUUAUAAAUUUUGAAAACAACGAUGGAACUUUUAUGGUAACCCAAUAAUUAUAUUUUAAAGCUUAGUUUAUUUUAAAUUAUUUAUAAUUUAAUUUAAAUUAUUUAGGGGAACUGAAUUAAUUAGGUUACAAAAUCCUCCUUACAAGAGAUUGUUGAACUUUCCUAGAUUUUUGAAGUGUUACUUUUUUUUUUUUUAAAUUUAUUUAUUUGACAGAGAGAUAGCAAGAGCAGGAACACAAGCAGGGGGAGUGGGAGAGGGAGAAGCAGGCUUCCUGCCGAGCAGGGAGCCCGAUGUGGGACUCGAUCCCAGGACCCUGGGAUCAUGACCUGAGCCGAAGGCAGACGCUUAACGACUGAGCCACCCAGGCGCCCCUGAAGUGUUACUUUUAUAAAUUAAGCAUUCAUUUUUAAAACCAAAGCAGCUUUGGGGCACCUCGCUACCUCAGUCGGUGGAGUGUGGAGUGUGCGACUCUUCAUCUCAGGGUUGUGAGUUUGAGCCCCACACUGGGUGUAGAGAUUACUUAAAAUAAAAUCUUUAAAAAAAUAAUUAAAAAAACAAAAACAAAAACAAAAGCAGCCUCAGCUGGUUUUCCUAUGAACAGAACCACCCUCGAGGGCAACUCGAAACUCACACUGACCCUGACUGGCCAUCACUUGGUUCCACGGUGCCCUGCCAGUGUCCCCAUCUGUAAAAACGCCCCUCCAUUCCCGGGAAGGCAGGCAGAAGCCGGACGCACAGUGCCUUCUGUGUGAGUCAGACGAAGCCGAGCCCUCUGGGUGGAAGCCGGUUGGCGAGUGGAGACGGGCUGCCUUCAGCUCCGCUCAGCCCACAGGCCAGCUGUCCUUGGGCACAGCCUACCUGCACAACCACAUCUGCAGCCCCGAGCCAGCUGCAGACCUUCUCGGGCCAGCACAUAUCACAGGAGCCUCAGCCUCCCAGCCUGCGAACCCUCUCGUAAACGAGAAUAACCUGUUGAGUUUAUCUUGGCUUCUGUGCUGCGUAUCGCCUGCAAGAUCGUGGGCAAUUACUCAACCAUGAUAGACCUCAGUUUCCCCGCAUAUAAAAUGGGGAGAACAAUACAAAAUUCAGGAACCGUAACAACAGAGGAUCAGAUGAUCCUGUUGGGCAGGGAUGGGAAAUCACAAUUCUUGACAUUUGUAGAGUGCAUCAGACGGUGACGUCCGUUCCCAUUAAGUGCAGUAACAGCUUCUCACAGAUGCUCACAUACACCUUCCUGCAACCCACCGGACCCUCACGGCAGCCCCGGAUGAAGGCAGGGAGAGGGGCAGCGAGCGCUGCACACUCACCCUCCGUGCGCUGCCCUCUGGCCAGCCUGUGCUGUUUUGUGCACCCCCAGUGCUUUGUUGCUUUGUUCCUGCUGCCUGGACUGCCCCCUUUCACCCGCUUUGCCCUGUCUGUCCUUGGCGGAUCCGCCUGCUCAGGCCCCGAAUGAGGGUCCUGGUGGCAUCUCCCCGAAUGAGCUUUCCCUUGCUGUACCACCAUACAGUCUCUCCCACGCUCACACAUGCCCCCAUUAAUGUCAGUUCCGCCCCCUGCCCGGCACCCCUUCGAUCGUGAGCUCAUCCUCCCGGCCUGCGGCCCCAGGGCCCAGCACAGAGCCGGCAACAAAGAAGAUCAAAUGGAAAGAUUUACAAAUUAUUAUUGCUGAGACCUGCUUUAUCAUCUAACCCAUGGUCCCAGCCAGAACCCCAGAGUCAUCCCUGAUGUCUCCCUCUUCCUUAAAACCUUCAUCCAACCCAUCAGGAACCACUUGUUCUAGCUCCUAACAUUUCUCUCUUCAGUAUUCCCACGUCCUUCCCUCCUUCCCUGCCCCCCACCACCCCGUGCCACCAUCUCUGUGGACCAUUGUCACAGCCCCCUAACUGGUAGCCUCACCUCCUCCUCCAAUCCAUUCUUCAAACAGAAAUCAGAAUACCUUUCCAAAAAGCAACCCCCUUCCCUGCUUACAACUCUUCAUGGCUUCUUGCACUCAGAAUAAAGAGUAAAGCCUGUCACAUGGCCCCACCUAGCUGACAAGCCUGCUCCCGCUGCCUUCCUGGCUCUCUGUCCCCUCCAGCCUCCCAGGACUUCGCUCUGCUCCUCAGUAUGCCCUGCUCCUUUCCAUUUCUGGCUUUGCAUGUGCUCUUGUCUCCUCCCGGAACAUUCUCUUGCUCCCUCUUGCCCUGGUUAAUGUGACUCAUCUUCCAUCUCUCAGCUCACUGGAGCACUUUCCCAGGGAAGCCUUCCCUGACCCCACCCAUGUGACCAGGUCGCCUGCUGCAGGCUCUCCUAGUCCUUGGCCCUCCCCCACCCCUUAACACAGCUCAUGACUUGCAUUCUUCUAGAUUAAUGUUUCCCCUACUGGAUUGAAGCAUUCAGAGGGCAGAACCAGGCUGCCUUUGCCUAUCACUGUAUUGUCUGUACCUAAAAUAAAGGAAAGGACCCAACUAAAUACUUGUCGAAUGAAUGAAUAGAUGAGAGCCUUCCUGUGCCAGGCUCUGUCCUAUUUGCAAAAUUUAAUGUUCCAAGGUUACAUGAGACAUCCUAAGUCUUAGGAACUUAAUUUUCUGCCCUUCUUCCUGUUACCAUGGAGACAGGCAAUGCCUCCUGGGUAUACACACACUAUGCUUUAUCAGAGUCUGGAAGCAGGAUUAUGGAGCCCUGCCCAAGACUAUCUGGAAAAAGGGCUGCCUUCCCUCCUGCUGGUUCCUGCUCUUGCACACAAUUCUAAUUCCAUCAUCCACCCAUGUGGUUUUCUUUUUUUUUUCCUCCCUAGACUGUUUCCUGCUGCACCAUCAAAGCAGCCCAGAGCUGGGGCGGUGCUCAUGUAGGAGGGCCCUGUCCAUGAAUCCCCUGCCUCCACAGCUUGGAAAAGCCCUGGGGAAGAAAGAAACUCCUAUUUCCUGAGCAGGAACCAUGUGCCAGGCUUGGGGCCAGAAUCUGCAGGAGACAAGGCAUUCUCAAAACGAGAGCUCCCGCGCCUGCCUCUCUCCCGCCCAGACUCCAGGCAGCCUCUGUUUUAGCAAGGACCGUGGUGUUUGGUGGUGACCUGCCUCUCCUGCUGUGGCCCAUGGACUGUUUCGUUCAUCUUCUCAUCGCCAGUAUCUGGGGUUGGACUCAUAGUAGCACCUGCAGAGAUUUGUGUAACGAAUUGCUGUUCUUCUCAGUUGCACGCCCUGAGAUAGAAAGGAAGAGGACGGUGGGCCUGGCCGAACGCCUCAUUUCUAGGAGUCCUGUUCUCUUUAACAAAUGUGGCCCACAAAGCACACGCUCAACGAGUUUGCAAAAGACUUCUCC
This is a long non-coding RNA of Mirounga angustirostris (Northern elephant seal), 6106 nucleotides long. RefSeq lists it as uncharacterized. The record is from RefSeq and is a predicted model, not a curated record. Lineage: Eukaryota; Metazoa; Chordata; Mammalia; Carnivora; Phocidae. The transcript has 3 exons.